Eucalyptus grandis is the source of this 1226-nucleotide long non-coding RNA. RefSeq lists it as uncharacterized. The transcript has 2 exons. Lineage: Eukaryota; Viridiplantae; Streptophyta; Magnoliopsida; Myrtales; Myrtaceae. The record is from RefSeq and is a predicted model, not a curated record.
ACAGCUUUCCCCCCUGCAGAAAUUCAACCUCAUCUUUUUAUCUUUGACCAAGCUUGCACUUAUCCAAGAAACAAAUAUCUCUCUCUCACGUCGCUUUCCUUUUCCCUCUCCCUUAUCUCUUUCUUUCUUUUUCUCUACGGAGCAAGCCCUGCAGCAGUCUUCGCACAUGCUUCUUCCCUGUUGACCGCUCACGCCAACACACCCCACGCCGGUCAAAACCCCCUUGACAAAGCCCUCAAUUGAAGAUGCCAGCAACUGAUUUCCUUCUGCUUCACCGAUCCACGCGUCUUCACCAUCUCCUGCAGCUUCACUCACCGAAGCAUCCACCAGAGUCAAUCAACAGAGCCGGUUUGUUGACUCCUUCGCUGGCUCUCUUCCAUUCGGCCCACAACCCACCGAAGCAUCGCCCUUGCACCUUCAGCUUACGAAGCCAGCUUCUGCCGAGUCUACUCCAGCGAACUUCUUCCAGGACGUUGACUUCCGUGGCUUCUUGGACGUGCGCCCCUCCGUCAGCAACGCCAGCUGCCAUCCCCUCGUGCAGCUCGACUCCACCGAAUUCCCUCAGCCAACCAUCCGCGUGAGUUCCCCAACCGAAGCUGCUGCCUGGACCAUGUCUUCAGUUCCACCGAAACCCAGCAGCUCAUGUCAUCUUCUCACCCGUGAGCUCAGCAACUCUCCAGCGAAACCAUCUCUACCGAGGCAAGUUUCGAAGCCCAUCUUCAAUCAGCAACCCACAGUUUGGCCAUAAGCCCAGCCCGUGAGCAAGAAGCCCACGCAGCAGUCCAGCAAUUUCAGCCCAUUCUCAGUCCAUUGAAGUUGCUUUUUGGCCCACUUGAUUUAGCCCAUAAUUCAGUGAAAUCCAGCAAAUUCUUUUGAGGCCCAAGCCCGCAAAUUCCGGCCCACCGAAUCAGUGGACUCAGCCCAGCUCGAGCAGCGAGCUUGUAGGCCGAUUUCGGCCCCAGUUUGACCCCGGUCGGCGGACUCGCUUUGGAGAGAAUCAAGCCUUGUCGCGUGCUCGUCGAUUUGAUCCGAUCAAAUCUUUAAUCAAGUCCUUGGAUGCAACGGACUUGGAUUUUGAAGAUCUCGAAAGUCCAGUGCAGUCUGCUGAAGGCUCCAGUUGAAGUGUAGAGGAUGAUGGAGAGGAGGACAGGGACCCGUAGUUUGUAGAACCCCACUCUUGUUUGUAGACCUUAUUUUUACACUGGCUUAAGUUGAAUUUGACUUAA